AGGGUUUGAUCAUGGCUCAGGACGAACGCUGGCGGCGUGCCUAAUACAUGCAAGUGGAACGCAUGAUUGAUACCGGAGCUUGCUCCACCAUUAAUCAUGAGUCGCGAACGGGUGAGUAACGCGUAGGUAACCUACCUCAUAGCGGGGGAUAACUAUUGGAAACGAUAGCUAAUACCGCAUAACAGUAUUUAUCGCAUGGUAAAUGCUUGAAAGGAGCAACUGCUUCACUAUGAGAUGGACCUGCGUUGUAUUAGCUAGUUGGUGGGGUAACGGCUCACCAAGGCAUCGAUACAUAGCCGACCUGAGAGGGUGAUCGGCCACACUGGGACUGAGACACGGCCCAGACUCCUACGGGAGGCAGCAGUAGGGAAUCUUCGGCAAUGGGGGGAACCCUGACCGAGCAACGCCGCGUGAGUGAAGAAGGUUUUCGGAUCGUAAAGCUCUGUUGUAAGAGAAGAACGUGUGUGAGAGUGGAAAGUUCACACAGUGACGGUAACUUACCAGAAAGGGACGGCUAACUACGUGCCAGCCGCCGCGGUAAUAC
This 544-nucleotide ribosomal RNA is filed under the name uncultured bacterium. Its description in RNAcentral is "bacterial SSU rRNA". It matches the Rfam family "Bacterial small subunit ribosomal RNA", at positions 8 to 526 of the family's 1533-position model. The record is from RNAcentral.